This 85-nucleotide transfer RNA is filed under the name Candidatus Woesebacteria bacterium RIFCSPHIGHO2_01_FULL_44_10. RNAcentral describes it as "tRNA-Leu". It matches the Rfam family "tRNA". Rfam says of the family: Transfer RNA (tRNA) molecules are approximately 80 nucleotides in length. Their secondary structure includes four short double-helical elements and three loops (D, anti-codon, and T loops). The record is from RNAcentral. Lineage: Bacteria; Candidatus Woeseibacteriota. RNAcentral also lists the same sequence under 2 other names.
GCCCUCGUGGCGGAAUUGGCAGACGCGCAGCAUUCAGGAUGCUGUGAGCUUUACGCUCGUAGAGGUUCAAGUCCUCUCGAGGGCA